AUCAUCACAUGAGCUUGAAGGUCACAGUA
This 29-nucleotide non-coding RNA is filed under the name Mus musculus (house mouse). Lineage: Eukaryota; Metazoa; Chordata; Mammalia; Rodentia; Muridae. The record is from RNAcentral.